CCUACGGAGGCAGCAGUGAGGAAUAUUGGACAACGGGCGCAAGCCUGAUCCAGCCAUGCCGCGUGCAGGAUGACGGUCCUAUGGAUUGUAAACUGCUUUUGUACAGGAAGAAACCCCUUUCACGUGUGGAAGAUUGACGGUACUGUAAGAAUAAGGAUCGGCUAACUCCGUGCCAGCAGCCGCGGUAAUACGGAGGAUCCAAGCGUUAUCCGGAAUCAUUGGGUUUAAAGGGUCCGUAGGCGGUUUAGUAAGUCAGUGGUGAAAGCCCAUCGCUCAACGGUGGAACGGCCAUUGAUACUGCUAGACUUGAAUUAUUAGGAAGUAACCUAGAAUAUGUAGUGUAGCGGUGAAAUGCUUAGAGAUUACAUGGAAUACCAAUUGCAAAGGCAGGUUACUACUAAUGGAUUGACGCUGAUGGACGAAAGCGUGGGUAGCGAACAGGAUUAGNUACCCUGGUAGUCCCACGCGUACGAUAGAUACUANCUGUGGUCGCGAGU
RNAcentral lists this ribosomal RNA (497 nucleotides) under uncultured bacterium. RNAcentral describes it as "bacterial SSU rRNA". It matches the Rfam family "Bacterial small subunit ribosomal RNA", at positions 338 to 833 of the family's 1533-position model. The record is from RNAcentral.